GCUAUACAUGCAGUCGAGCGACUGAUUAGAAGCUUGCUUCUAUGACGUUAGCGGCGGACGGGUGAGUAACACGUGGGCAACCUGCCUGUAAGACUGGGAUAACUUCGGGAAACCGAAGCUAAUACCGGAUAGGAUCUUCUCCUUCAUGGGAGAUGAUUGAAAGAUGGUUUCGGCUAUCACUUACAGAUGGGCCCGCGGUGCAUUAGCUAGUUGGUGAGGUAACGGCUCACCAAGGCAACGAUGCAUAGCCGACCUGAGAGGGUGAUCGGCCACACUGGGACUGAGACACGGCCCAAACUCCUACGGGAGGCAGCAGUAGGGAAUCUUCCGCAAUGGACGAAAGUCUGACGGAGCAACGCCGCGUGAGUGAUGAAGGCUUUCGGGUCGUAAAACUCUGUUGUUAGGGAAGAACAAGUACAAGAGUAACUGCUCGUACCUUGACGGUACCUAACCAGAAAGCCACGGCUAACUACGUGCCAGCAGCCGCGGUAAUACGUAGGUGGCAAGCGUUAUCCGGAAUUAUUGGGCGUAAAGCGCGCGCAGGCGGUUUCUUAAGUCUGAUGUGAAAGCCCACGGCUCACCCGUGGAGGGUCAUUGGAAACUGGGGAACUUGAGUGCAGAAGAGAAAAGCGGAAUUCCACGUGUAGCGGUGAAAUGCGUAGAGAUGUGGAGGAACACCAGUGGCGAAGGCGGCUUUUUGGUCUGUAACUGACGCUGAGGCGCGAAAGCGUGGGGAGCAAACAGGAUUAGAUACCCUGGUAGUCCACGCCGUAAACGAUGAGUGCUAAGUGUUAGAGGGUUUCCGCCCUUUAGUGCUGCAGCUAACGCAUUAAGCACUCCGCCUGGGGAGUACGGUCGCAAGACUGAAACUCAAGGAAUUGACGGGGCCCGCACAGCGGUGGAGCAUGUGAUUUAAUUCGAGCACGCGAGACCUUA
RNAcentral lists this ribosomal RNA (936 nucleotides) under Priestia megaterium. Its description in RNAcentral is "bacterial SSU rRNA". It matches the Rfam family "Bacterial small subunit ribosomal RNA", at positions 48 to 973 of the family's 1533-position model. The record is from RNAcentral. Lineage: Bacteria; Bacillati; Bacillota; Bacilli; Caryophanales; Bacillaceae.